This 253-nucleotide ribosomal RNA is filed under the name uncultured bacterium. Its description in RNAcentral is "partial 16S ribosomal RNA". It matches the Rfam family "Bacterial small subunit ribosomal RNA", at positions 524 to 776 of the family's 1533-position model. The record is from RNAcentral.
UACGGGGGGGGCAAGCGUUGUCCGGAAUUACUGGGCGUAAAGGGCUCGUAGGCGGCCCACUAAGUCAGACGUGAAAUCCCUCGGCUUAACCGGGGAACUGCCUCUGAUACUGGAUGGCUUGAGUUUGGGAGAGGGAUGCGGAAUUCCAGGUGUAGCGGUGAAAUGCGUAGAUAUCUGGAGGAACACCGGUGGCGAAGGCGGCAUCCUGGACCAACACUGACGCUGAGGAGCGAAAGCCAGGGGAGCAAACGGG